Long non-coding RNA from Phasianus colchicus (ring-necked pheasant), 2052 nucleotides. The record is from Ensembl. Lineage: Eukaryota; Metazoa; Chordata; Aves; Galliformes; Phasianidae.
AUGGCCCCACAUAGACCCCAAGUGGCCCCAAAUAGACCCCAAGUGGCCCCAAAUAGACCCCAAACGGCCCCGAAUCGCCACAAAUGGAACCAAAAAGGCCCCAAGUUGCAACAAAUGGCCCCAAAAUGGCCCCAAAUCGCCACAGAUGGACCCCAAAUGGCCCCAAAUUGCAACAAAUGGCCCCAAAAUGCCCCCAAAACGGCCCCAAAUCACCACAAAUGGACCCAAAACGGCCCCAAAUUGCAACAAAUGGCCCCAAAAUGGCCGCUGAACGGCCCCAAAUCGCCACAAAUGGAACCCAAAUGGCCCCAAAUAGCCACAAAUGGACCCCAAAUGGCCCCAAGUUGCAACAAAUGGACCCAAAAUGGCCCCCAAACGGCCCCAAAUCACAAGAAAUGGACCCAAAACGGCCCCAAAUCGCCACAAAUGGACCCCAAAUGGCCCCAAGUUGCAACAAAUGGCCCCAAAUUGCAACAAAUGGACCCAAAAUGGCCCCAAAUCACCACAAAUGGACCCAAAUUCAACAAAUGGCUCCAAAAUGCCCCCAAAAAGGCCCCAAAUCACCACAAAUGGCCCCAAAACAGCCCCAAAAUGGCAACAAAUGGCCCCAAAAUGGCCCCAAAUCACCACAAAUGGCCCCCAAACAGCCCCAAAUCGCCACAAAUGGACCCCAAAUGGCCCCAAGUUGCAACAAAUGGACCCAAAAUGGCCCCAAACGGCCCCAAAUCACAACAAAUGGACCCAAAACGGCCCCAAAUUGCAACAAAUUGGCCCCAAAUGGACCCAAACGGCCCCAAACAGCCCCAAAUCGCCCCCAAAUGGCCCCAAAUUGCAACAAAUGGCCCCAAAAUCGCAACAAAUGGCCCCAAACGGCCCCAAAUUGCAACAAAUGGCCCCAAAUUGCAACAAAUGGACCCCAAACGGCCCCAAAUUGCAACAAAGGGACCCCGAACGGCCCCAAAUUGCAACAAAUGGCCCCAAAAUGGCCCCAAAUCGCAACAAAUGGUCCCAAAAUCGCAACAAAUGGACCGAAAACGGCCCCAAAUAGCAACACAUGGACUCCAAAUGGCCCCAAAUUGCAACAAAUUGCAACAAAUGGGCCCAAAACAGCAACAAAUGGACACCAAAUGGCCCAAAUUGCAACAAAUGGACCCCAAAUGGCCCAAAUUGCAACAAAUGGCCCCCAAACGGCCCCAAGUCGCCACAAAUGCACCCCAAAUGGCCCCAAAUCGCAACAAAUGGCCCCAAAAUGGCCCCAAAUUGCAACAAAUGGACCCCAAAUGGACCAAAAUGGCCCCAAAACGGCCCCAAAUUGCAACAAAUUGCAACAAAUGGUCCCAAAACAGCAACGAAUGGACCCCAAACAGCCCCAAAUCGCAACAAAUGGACCCAAAACGGCCCCAAACGGCCCCAAAUCGCAACAAAUGGACCCAAAACGGCCCCAAAAUGGCAACAAAUGGUCCCAAAACAACAACAAAUGGACCCCAAACUGCCCCAAAUCGCAACAAAUGGACCCCAAACGGCCCCAAACAGCCCCAAAUCGCAACAAAUGGACCCAAAAUGGCCCAAAAUGGCAACAAAUGGAUGCAAAACAGCCCCAAAUGGACCCAAAGUGGCCCCAAAUCACAACAAAUGGACCCCAAACGGCCCAAAAUUGCAACAAAUGGACCCCAAACGGCCCCAAAUUACCCUAAUGGACCCCAAACGGCCCUAUAUCGCAACAAAUGGCCUCAAAUGCCCCCAAAACAGCAACAAAUGGCCCCAAAACAGCCCCAAACCACCACAAAUCACCCCAAAAUGGCACCAAAAUGGCCCUAUAUAUGGCCCCAAAAUGGCAACAAAUGGCACCAAAUCAUCCCAAAACAGCCCCAGAUUGUCCCAAAAUGGCACCAAAAUGGCCCUAUAUGGACCCAAAAUGGCAACAAAUGGCACCAAAUGUCCCCAAAUCGCCCCAAGUGGCCCCAAAAAGGCCCAAAAUGGCCCCAAAAUGACUCUAUAUGGCCACAAACAGCCCCAAAUCGCCCCAAAUGGACCCCAAACCACCCCAAAUAG